Molecule: ribosomal RNA, 518 nt
Filed under: uncultured Gammaproteobacteria bacterium
Lineage: Bacteria; Pseudomonadati; Pseudomonadota; Gammaproteobacteria
Description: bacterial SSU rRNA
Rfam family: Bacterial small subunit ribosomal RNA
Source: RNAcentral
AUGGCGAACCUGAUCAGCCAUGCCGCGUGUGUGAAGAAGGCCUUCGGGUUGUAAAGCACUUUCCCUGUGGAGGAAAAGAGCAUGUUUAAUACACGUGCUCUGUGACGUUUCUCGUCAGAAGAAGCACCGGCUAACUCCGUGCCAGCAGCCGCGGUAAUACGGAGGGUGCAAGCGUUAAUCGGAAUUACUGGGCGUAAAGCGCGCGUAGGUGGUUUGUUAAGUGGAAUGUGAAAGCCCUGGGCUCAACCUAGGAAUUGCAUCCCAAACUGGCAAACUAUGAGUACAAGAGAGGGGAUGUGGAAUUUCCUGUGUAGCGGUGAAAUGCGUAGAUAUAGGAAGGAACAUCAGUGGCGAAGGCGACCCCCUGGCUUGAUACUGACACUGCAGGUGCGAAAGGCGUGGGGAGCAAACAGGAUUAUGAUAACCCUGGUAGUCCACCGCCGUAAAACGAUGUCUAGCUAUGUCCGUUGGGGAGAGCUUGAUCCUCUUUAGUGGCGACAGCUAAACGCGAUAAGUAG